This 465-nucleotide ribosomal RNA is filed under the name uncultured bacterium. Its description in RNAcentral is "bacterial SSU rRNA". It matches the Rfam family "Bacterial small subunit ribosomal RNA", at positions 10 to 507 of the family's 1533-position model. The record is from RNAcentral.
AGUUUGAUCAUGGCUCAGAGCGAACGCUAGCGGCAGGCUUAACACAUGCAAGUCGAACGAAGUUCUUCGGAACUUAGUGGCGAACGGGUGAGUAACACGUAGGUAAUGUACCCUUUGGUGGAGGAUAACUCAGGGAAACCUGAGCUAAUACUGCAUAUGUCCUUCGGGAUAAAAGUCUUCGGACGCCUUAGGAGCAGCCUGCGGCCCAUUAUCUAAUCCUAGUUGGUAGGGUAACGGCCUACCAAGGGUACGAUGGGUAGCUGGUCUGAGAGGAUGAUCAGCCACACUGGGACUGAGACACGGCCCAGACUCCUACGGGAGGCAGCAGUGGGGAAUAUUGCGCAAUGGGGGAAACCCUGACGCAGCCAUGCCGCGUGUGUGAUGAAGGCCCUCGGGUCGUAAAGCACUGUCGGGAGGGACGAAGAUCUGACGGUACCUCGCAAGAAAGCACCGGCUAACUCCGUG